This is a long non-coding RNA of Brassica rapa (field mustard), 2011 nucleotides long. RefSeq lists it as uncharacterized. The record is from RefSeq and is a predicted model, not a curated record. NCBI's taxonomy places the organism in Eukaryota, Viridiplantae, Streptophyta, Magnoliopsida, Brassicales, Brassicaceae.
UUUCAGAUGAUUGUCUUCUCAACUCCCAUACUUUCCUCCAUCACUCAUAAUUAUCUAUUGAUCCAACCCAUAGAAUCUCUAACAAUAGAUUAAUUCGUCUGUUUGAUUCAAUUUCAUCACCAUCCACAACCGAGACGACGACGAGGACGAGCAGGAAACUCGAGACUUGGUACCGGAAUCGUCAGAUCUAGCUCUGAACAGACAGGAGAAUCUGUUCCACCAGUGAAACUGUUCUCAGCGAGGUUAAGCCUCACGAGGUUAGUGAGACUGAACAAGCUCUCGGGUAUUUGCCGGAGAAUCUGUUUCCUUGCAGGUAGAGGUGACGGAGAUCGGAGGAGGUGGUUAGAUCGAGAGGGAGAGAGCCGGCGAGGGUGUUGAGACGGAGGUCCACGUCUCUGAAAGAUAUACUUUUUGGUCCACUCACUCCGGCAGAAAACUGAUUGCGCCACUUCGUCUUCAUCGUUUCCAUUGGAAACGUUUCCAACCUCGCAAUUUCUCUAAGUAACAUCGGCUUACAAUCAUUCUUUGUCAUUAAAAUCUCUUCUUUACUCCUUCAGUCGGAAGAGCUAUCGUUCUAAUUCCCUUUGUUUGUCACAAUAUAUAAACCUAUCCAUUCUAUUACUCUGUCCUUUCCGCAUAGCUGAAUCGUUUAUUUCUACAAUCUUUGUUUCUUUCUUUGUUCGCUUUGUGGGUUCUUCUUCAGAUGAUCUGAAAUCUGAAAAGUUUCAAGAUUUGCGAUGAAAUCAUCUGAUAGGCUUUAUUUGGUUGCGUUUCAGCUCACUCACACUCGAACCUGGUGUGAUUUAUUUGUAACACCUCUCAUGGAAAGACUGAGAAGAUAGCUACAUGGUUGUUUGAUCCUCUUCUUGCUUACUUGAAGACAUCACCAGAUCAAGUUGUUAAAGCUGGCUACUCGAUUAUUCUCAUGCCUGAUGAAUGUGACAGUGCAGCUUGGUUCACGAAUCUAACUGGUGAAAAGUAGGUUUGUUCGAUUAGUGAGAAACCUGGAUGUCCUAGAACGUGUUUACACUAUUGAAACUCAGAUAAUGCAGAUUAUGGACGCAAUUGGUAUCCAAAAUCGUGUGGUGGUAGUAAAUGUUUCGGUUGAUGAUGAACAACGUCCAAAAAGUUCAGAGAGUACAGAAACUUGCUCAAUAAAGGGAAAAUGAAGUUGUGAGUGUUGUAAAAACAUUUAUGGUGGUAUAUUCAAGGUAUGGCGGUGCUUGGAAACAUACCAGGCCAGGAACAAUUUCUUUAGUCAUAAUAGCAAAAGAUUUGAUGAAGAAUUUUGGCUAAUCCUCAAUUCUUCAAUUGAUUCCGCCACUGUCAUACGUCCACAAUCUCUUCGUCUGGUACCGGCAAAAGUUAGGCUGCUUGGUGAGGAUAAAAAUGGUGUCGCAUAUUAUAUGUUCUAAUUUUGUAAAUACCAGAAACUGAUGGAGGUUUUACAUGAAAAUCUGCUAACGAUGUCUCUCAUCGCUUUAGACUUUAGCUACUUGCCCGAUGUGAAAGUUCCUGGUAAAAGAGCCCCAUUGUUCUCAACAAAGGAGGAGAUGACAAGUUAGAUGGAGAUGCUGCUGUGAACAAGUUUUCCAGCGAUAUAUACUAGAGUAUGGAUGAGGAGAUGAGACAAGCCAUAUGCAUAUCAAUUUCUCUUUUGGUCUUCUAUUUUAACAACUUAUCUUUCACCUUUUCACUCACAAUAUAUACCUUCUCAGGUGGUUUUAGAUUUGAUAAAAAAAACUUUUUGAAAAAAAAAAACUUUUUGAAAAAAAAAACAGGAAGUUGCGUUGGAGGAUGAAAUCACAGACCAAGAGCAGAAAAAAGAUACUCCCCACAAGCGGCCUUCACUUUGAAUCUUAUUCUAAAUUGUAAAAGAAUCAAUGAAAGAGUUUGAACCUACAGUUGAAACCAGACCUUGAUCUGCUUAGGCUCCAUAUUUAGACAAAAUGGAACAUUCGAGAUCAAUUAAUUUUUGUGGCUAGAGCGCCUGUGAUUGCUCUGCCCUGAA